CAUUUAAAUUUCAAAUGAAGGCUCAUUCUUAUAGAAGUUUCCCAAUUCCAAGGUCAUUAAAUCUGAUCAGAUCACAUCAACUUACUUUUUCACUUCAUCCAAACUCCUUUUUAUAUUCCCAAUACAUAUCAACUACUGCAUUUCACCAUAAAAAUUUUUCUACUUACCCAUAUCAUAUUUCUUCUUCCUUUUCUUUUCUAUUUUUUUCUCUUCUUCUCCAUCAGUCUACCUUUUCCGCAUGAUUCCUACACGUUACACAUCAUUAGUCCUCCAUACCACUGUUAAUCUUAGCUGCUUCUCUAGCUGUAGGUCUCGUCGUCGGCCUUUAAGUCCCCUUCCACACGAUUUUGUGCUCCUUCGGUCUACACUCGAUGCCAUUCAUAAUAGUUCUCAACUCUACUUUCUUUGUUUCAUGCUCUCUAAUGGCCAUUUCAUAGCAAAUUAAGCAUUAGGUCUUGUAUAGGCAUUGUCAAUUUGCUGUCAAUUUGAAGAAUUUUGAAGAAAUUUGAAGGUACCUAUCAAUUUUGACAUUUUAGAAUAAUUUCUCAUACCUUACAAUAUUUGAGCUUGAAAUGUACUGUAGAUGUGUUGGGUGACUUCUUGAUGUGGCUUUUGCACCUAGAUUUCAUUCUCUAGAAAUGACAUCUACCUUCCCUACUGCAAAUACCUGGAUAACUCCCCUAGUACCAGCUCCUCUAUUGCAGGUGCCUUUGUUAACCUUGUAAGUGCUUCCAUAGAUAGCUUCACUAGUGCCUCCAUAGGUAUCUAGUAUCUGGAACCUAGUAUCUCCACAGGUAUUUCUUUCUCGAAUGCCUUGAGUAGUGCUAAGCCUUCAUAUACUUUUGUUAAUGUUACUAUAAAUACUCGCGAUCUCUUGAGACUGUUGAAUACUUGAGGGGCCAAUUUCCUUAGGUGCUUUUCAUAAGUACCUAACUUCAUUUCUUUUUUUUUAUUAUUUUUGCAGAGAAUGCAAGUGUAAGUCUCUAGCAGUUCCUAAUAAGGCGCAUAUGAGAUUUUAAGGAGUUAUCUGUCUAGCCUGGUUCCAAAGUCACCUCUUAACUCUAGGCUUCCUCCAAUGAUUUUUUACAUGCUAAAAUCAUUAUAUUAUGAUGUAAUAAAUUUAGCAUACAUGUAAAUACUUUGUUACUUAUUAAAUAACAAGUGGUGUUUUGGCAAAAA
This 1179-nucleotide unclassified non-coding RNA is filed under the name Hevea brasiliensis (rubber tree). The record is from RNAcentral. Lineage: Eukaryota; Viridiplantae; Streptophyta; Magnoliopsida; Malpighiales; Euphorbiaceae.